RNAcentral lists this ribosomal RNA (410 nucleotides) under uncultured bacterium. RNAcentral's name for it is "bacterial SSU rRNA". It matches the Rfam family "Bacterial small subunit ribosomal RNA", at positions 505 to 916 of the family's 1533-position model. The record is from RNAcentral.
GUGCCANCAGUCGCGGUAAUACGGAGGGGGCUAGCGUUGUUCGGAAUUACUGGGCGUAAAGCGCGCGUAGGCNGAUCGAUCAGUCAGAGGUGAAAUCCCGGAGCUCAACUUCGGAACUGCCUUUGAUACUGUCGAUCUGGAGUCCGGGAGAGGUGCAUGGAAUUCCGAGUGUAGAGGUGAAAUUCGUAGAUAUUCGGAGGAACACCAUAGGCGAAGGCGAUGCACUGGACCGGUACUGACGCUGAGGUGCGAAAGCGUGGGGAGCNNACAGGAUUAGAUACCCUGGUAGUCCACGCCGUAAACGAUGAGAGCUAGUUGUCAGGCAGCAUGCUGUCUGUGACGCANCUAACGCAUUANGCUCUCNGCCUGGGGAGUACGGCCGCAAGGUUAAAACUCANAUGAAUUGACGG